GCAGCAGUGGCAGAGUCUGGUUUAAUGCACCGGUUUCGAAAACCGGCGUGUCUUUUGACACCGGAGGUUCAAAUCCUUUCUGCUGCG
RNAcentral lists this transfer RNA (87 nucleotides) under Erysipelotrichaceae bacterium 5_2_54FAA. It matches the Rfam family "tRNA". Rfam says of the family: Transfer RNA (tRNA) molecules are approximately 80 nucleotides in length. Their secondary structure includes four short double-helical elements and three loops (D, anti-codon, and T loops). Further hydrogen bonds mediate the characteristic L-shaped molecular structure. tRNAs have two regions of fundamental functional importance: the anti-codon, which is responsible for specific mRNA codon recognition, and the 3' end, to which the tRNAs corresponding amino acid is attached (by aminoacyl-tRNA synthetases). tRNAs cope with the degeneracy of the genetic code in two manners: having more than one tRNA (with a specific anti-codon) for a particular amino acid; and 'wobble' base-pairing, i.e. permitting non-standard base-pairing at the 3rd anti-codon position. Lineage: Bacteria; Bacillati; Bacillota; Erysipelotrichia; Erysipelotrichales; Erysipelotrichaceae. The record is from Rfam by way of RNAcentral. RNAcentral also lists the same sequence under 1 other name.